RNAcentral lists this ribosomal RNA (253 nucleotides) under uncultured bacterium. RNAcentral describes it as "partial 16S ribosomal RNA". It matches the Rfam family "Bacterial small subunit ribosomal RNA", at positions 524 to 776 of the family's 1533-position model. The record is from RNAcentral.
UACGAGUGCUCCAAGCGUUAUCCGGAAUCAUUGGGCGUAAAGGGUGUGUAGGUGGUUGUGUUAGUCUUCUGUCAAAUUCUUCGGCUUAACCGGGGGCUCGCAGAGGAAACGGCACAACUAGAGGAUGCGAGAGGUGAACGGAACUCAUGGAGUAGGGGUGAAAUCCGUUGAUAUCAUGGGGAACACCAAAAGCGAAGGCAGUUCACUGGCGCACUCCUGACACUGAGACACGAAAGCGUAGGUAGCGAAUGGG